GCGCAUAACACAUGCAAGUCGAGUGAGGGCUCAUUUCCCGCAAGGGAGAUGGGUUCCUAGCGGCGAACGGGUGAGUAACACGUGGGCAACCUUUCCUAUCGCGGGGGAUAACAGCGGGAAACCGCUGCUAAUACCGCAUGUAGUCACCGGUCGCAUGGCCGGUGAAAAAAGCAGCAAUGCACGAUAGGGUGGGCCCGCGGCCUAUCAGCUAGUCGGUGGGGUAACGGCCUACCGAGGCGAUGACGGGUAGCUGGUCUGAGAGGACGACGAGCCACACGGGGACUGAGACACGGCCCCGACUCCUACGGGAGGCGGCAGUGAGGAAUCUUCCGCAAUGGGCGAAAGCCUGACGGAGCGACACCGCGUGUGGGAUGAAGUCUUUCGGGAUGUAAACCACUGUUGGAGGGGAAGACUUCGACGGUACCCUCCGAGAAAGCCCCGGCUAACUACGUGCCAGCCGCCGCCGUAA
RNAcentral lists this ribosomal RNA (469 nucleotides) under uncultured bacterium. RNAcentral describes it as "partial 16S ribosomal RNA". It matches the Rfam family "Bacterial small subunit ribosomal RNA", at positions 44 to 523 of the family's 1533-position model. The record is from RNAcentral.